RNAcentral lists this RNase P RNA (320 nucleotides) under bovine gut metagenome. RNAcentral's name for it is "Bacterial RNase P class A". It matches the Rfam family "Bacterial RNase P class A". From Rfam's summary of the family: Ribonuclease P (RNase P) is a ubiquitous endoribonuclease, found in archaea, bacteria and eukarya as well as chloroplasts and mitochondria. Its best characterised activity is the generation of mature 5'-ends of tRNAs by cleaving the 5'-leader elements of precursor-tRNAs. The record is from RNAcentral.
CGCGCCUUUAAAGGUGAGGAAAGUCCGUGCAUUCAAGGACAGGCAGCCGGAGAAAGUCCGGACGGUGUGAACCGGUGGAAAGUGCCACAGGAACUAUACUGCCGAUGGGCGUAAGCCACAGGCGAUGGUGCAACGGUGAGGUAAGAGCAUCACCAGCGAUAUUGAGAAAUAUCGGCUAGGUAAACCCCUGCAGAAUGCAAGAUUGAAUCGAAGGUUACAAAGGCUGUCCGCCCACUUCGAAAAAAUCGCUAAUGAUUGAAAGUAAUUUUAAUCUCAGACAGAUGAUUGUUUAGAAACAGAACACGGCUUAUGAGUUACUU